Molecule: ribosomal RNA, 481 nt
Filed under: uncultured bacterium
Lineage: Bacteria
Description: partial 16S ribosomal RNA
Rfam family: Bacterial small subunit ribosomal RNA
Source: RNAcentral
GAUGAACGCUGGCGGCGUGCUUAACACAUGCCAGUCGAACGAAGCAUUUAGAACAGAUUACUUCGGUUUGAAGUUCUUUAUGACUGAGUGGCGGACGGGUGAGUAACGCGUGGGUAACCUGCCUUGUACUGGGGGAUAGCAGCUGGAAACGGCUGGUAAUACCGCAUAAGCGCACAAUGUUGCAUGACAUGGUGUGAAAAACUCCGGUGGUAUAAGAUGGACCCGCGUCUGAUUAGCUAGUUGGUGAGAUAACAGCCCACCAAGGCGACGAUCAGUAGCCGACCUGAGAGGGUGACCGGCCACAUUGGGACUGAGACACGGCCCAGACUCCUACGGGAGGCAGCAGUGGGGAAUAUUGCACAAUGGAGGAAACUCUGAUGCAGCGACGCCGCGUGAGUGAAGAAGUAAUUCGUUAUGUAAAGCUCUAUCAGCAGGGAAGAUAGUGACGGUACCUGACUAAGAAGCGCCGGCUAAAUACGUG